AUACGUAGGUGGCGAGCGUUGUCCGGAAUUAGUUGGGCGUAAAGAGCAUGUAGGUCGGUUUUUAAGUCCGGAGUGAAAAUGCGGGGCUCAACCCCGUAUGGCUCUGGAUACUGGAAGACUUGAGUGCAGGAGAGGAAAGGGGAAUUCCCAGUGUAGCGGUGAAAUGCGUAGAUAUUGGGAGGAACACCAGUGGCGAAGGCGCCUUUCUGGACUGUGUCUGACGCUGAGAUGCGAAAGCCAGGGUAGC
This 247-nucleotide ribosomal RNA is filed under the name uncultured bacterium. RNAcentral's name for it is "partial 16S ribosomal RNA". It matches the Rfam family "Bacterial small subunit ribosomal RNA", at positions 523 to 769 of the family's 1533-position model. The record is from RNAcentral.